This 597-nucleotide long non-coding RNA is filed under the name Equus caballus (horse). RNAcentral's name for it is "lncRNA (ENSECAG00000059029.1)". The record is from RNAcentral. Lineage: Eukaryota; Metazoa; Chordata; Mammalia; Perissodactyla; Equidae.
GGGGAAUCUGAAGAGGCCCAUUGAGUUGCACAAUAAAGCAUGCAGAGACCUGGGGAAAACACCUCAGAGUGCGGAGGAAAGGCUGGCCAGGGUGGAGGAGAGCCACAUUGGAUGGGCAUUUUGAGGAAUCAUCACAGGAAAUCUAGCUGGGCCGGAGUGAGCAAGACCAGCUGCACACGACAGCCAGACACUCCCUCUGGACCGGCGGGAAAAGAGAUGGUCCAUGUGCUUCUCCUUCUGGAAUAACGAAAGAAAGAAGAAAGAAUAAAAGGAGAGCAGGAAGAGAAGAAAGCAAAGAGAAAGAAGAUAUAGGAAUGUAACAUCUGUGGAUGUUUUGAAGUUAUUGAACCAUGGACUGGAAUUAGAAUUUCAAAAACUGGUGUAUCGAUAGGCCACCAUAUUGCUUAUUCCCAACUCAAACAUUUAACAGCAAAACCGGAUAAAGCCUGGAAAGCUGGAGCCAAUGCUGGAGGUGGAGACCAGCUACCCUCACCUUCGAUUCCUUUUUCUCUAGAAGGACGGAUACUUGGGGUAAAAUCUACCUCUUCCACUUUGGUCCUUCAAAGACCAUUAUAAAAAUAAAUGCAUAGAGAAACA